GACGAACGCUGGCGGCGUGCCUAAUACAUGCAAGUAGAACGCUGAAGAGAGGAGCUUGCUCUUCUUGGAUGAGUUGCGAACGGGUGAGUAACGCGUAGGUAACCUGCCUGGUAGCGGGGGAUAACUAUUGGAAACGAUAGCUAAUACCGCAUAAAAUGGAUUAUCGCAUGAUAAUCCAUUGAAAGGUGCAAAUGCAUCACUACCAGAUGGACCUGCGUUGGAUUAGCUAGUUGGUGGGGUAACGGCUCACCAAGGCGACGAUACAUAGCCGGACUGAGAGGGUGGUCGGCCACACUGGGACUGGGACACGGCCCAAACUUCUAAGGGGGGCAGCAGGAGGGAAUUCUCGGCAAUGGACGGAAGGCUGACCGGGCAACGCCGCGGUAGUGAAGAAGGUUUUCGGAUCGGAAAGCUCGGUUGUAAGAGAAGAACGAGUGUGAGAGUGGAAAGUUCACACUGUGACGGUAUCUUACCAGAAAGCGACGGCUAACUACGUG
RNAcentral lists this ribosomal RNA (497 nucleotides) under uncultured bacterium. RNAcentral describes it as "partial 16S ribosomal RNA". It matches the Rfam family "Bacterial small subunit ribosomal RNA", at positions 28 to 507 of the family's 1533-position model. The record is from RNAcentral.